UUGCUAGUAGUACCUGCUUUGCAGAAGGGGCAACAUCAAUGGCACCUUUAUAUAGAAAGAUGUAAGACUUAGGUAUCAGUUUGGUUUUCAGACCAGUGAAAUUGUCUUGUGAGAACACACUCUUAUAACGCGGUUUAUGUCAAAAAUGGAUAUUAAAACUUUUUUCAUGGAUUCUGCCAAUCGAAAGGCAUUUCUGGAUUUCUUUGAAAACACAACUCAGCAUAAAACUAUUCAAGAUCUAAUCCAUAAUCUCGAAAGCGUCGAAAAUCUCAAAGGUCCUGAAAGACAAUCUAGAAUGGACAAUUUAUUUCAAAGGCUUGGUGAAUACUACGUAGAGUACCAGGCAAAAAAGACUGACGUGACGACAAAUACAACACAAGAAGGCGUGGCACAAAAAAAUUGCACCACACUAUGAAAAACCUGUUAUAAAUUUAGCAUCUUUCUUCAAGUCAAACCAAUGAAGUUUUUCUCCAUAGCAUGUACCAAAAUGUAUAAAAAUCCAUUUCUUUUCAUGGGAUGAAAAGAAUCACUACAGUUUUUGAUUAUUAUUUUUUCUUAACUAUGUGUACUAAUGCUGUUAAUACAAAUCUGUAUCUAUAAUUUUGUACAUUUUACGUAAAUUCAUUCAUAUUUGUUACAAAUGGCAUCCUAUACGACAGGCAACAUUAAAUUAUAUUCAUCUUUUCUACUCGACAGAUUUGGUUUGUACGUAUUCGUUAAUAAUAAUAUAUUCCCAUAAUUUAU
Tribolium castaneum (red flour beetle) is the source of this 744-nucleotide long non-coding RNA. RefSeq lists it as uncharacterized. NCBI's taxonomy places the organism in Eukaryota, Metazoa, Arthropoda, Insecta, Coleoptera, Tenebrionidae. The record is from RefSeq and is a predicted model, not a curated record. The transcript has 3 exons.